RNAcentral lists this ribosomal RNA (513 nucleotides) under uncultured microorganism. Its description in RNAcentral is "bacterial SSU rRNA". It matches the Rfam family "Bacterial small subunit ribosomal RNA", at positions 9 to 505 of the family's 1533-position model. The record is from RNAcentral.
GAGUUUGAUCAUGGCUCAGGAUGAACGCUGGCGGCGUGCCUAAUACAUGCAAGUCGAGCGAACGGACGAGAAGCUUGCUUCUCUGAUGUUAGCGGCGGACGGGUGAGUAACACGUGGAUAACCUACCUAUAAGACUGGGAUAACUUCGGGAAACCGGAGCUAAUACCGGAUAAUAUUUUGAACCGCAUGGUUCAAAAGUGAAAGACGGUCUUGCUGUCACUUAUAGAUGGAUCCGCGCUGCAUUAGCUAGUUGGUAAGGUAACGGCUUACCAAGGCAACGAUGCAUAGCCGACCUGAGAGGGUGAUCGGCCACACUGGAACUGAGACACGGUCCAGACUCCUACGGGAGGCAGCAGUAGGGAAUCUUCCGCAGUGGGCGAAAGCCUGACGGAGCAACGCCGCGUGAGUGAUGAAGGUCUUCGGAUCGUAAAACUCUGUUAUUAGGGAGAACAUAUGUGUAAGUAACUGUGCACAUCUUGACGGUACCUAAUCAGAAAGCCACGGCUAACUACG